Notothenia coriiceps (black rockcod) is the source of this 1090-nucleotide long non-coding RNA. RefSeq lists it as uncharacterized. The record is from RefSeq and is a predicted model, not a curated record. NCBI's taxonomy places the organism in Eukaryota, Metazoa, Chordata, Actinopteri, Perciformes, Nototheniidae. The transcript has 2 exons.
GUGUUUCCGGUCUCUCGUUGCAGCCGUGCUACCAGAAGGCCCGGCAGUGGCUGCUGGAUAACAUUCCCUCCGUCCUGGUGUUUGGAGUAUGUAUCGGUGUUGUGCAGAUCCUGGCCCUGGUUUUCUCCAUGCUGAUGUACUGUCAGAUCCUGUGCGCUGAGAAACAUUUGGACUGAGAGCAGACGGGAAGACUGAUCACAAACACCGCCAGCCUGAUUCGAGGUGUCCACCCCCGCCUCAGGACUGUGUGUGUCACAGCAGACAUGGCUGCAUCUCAAACGCCCCAGAGCAUCGGCUUGAACAUUCCCAUUUCAACAAAAAACGACUGAACGACGGCAGUAACAGACUGAAGAGUUGUUGUUGUACCAGCUUUAUAAAUAUGGUUUCAUUUUAGCUCCAUCAGCCUUCAGACAAAAUCUGCAAUAACCAUAAUGCAUUUCAACUGCAGAGGAACCGGAGGGAAACACUGGCUCUAAGAUCCUCUUCAAAUUCAAGAAAAUAAUCUGUGUCUGUAUUUUACAAUAUUUGGUUUCCAGAGUUGCUUCUCUUAGAUUGUUGUCAUCAACAGGAAAUAAUAGUGUGACACUUAAAAGGUCAUAAAACAGCAAAUAGGCAUUGUGUUCCUCAGUAUGCCUGCUAUAAAAGCUUUGGGAGGAGGAGAAUAAGAACAAAAUCAAAUAAAACAUUUUUACGUAGCACUUAGUUCACUUUGCUAAUAAUUCAUGCCUUGAAUAUUAAAUCUUAACCAUAUAAGCACUUUAAUCAUGUAGUGUAGUUUAGCCAUUUUAAAGUUUUACAUUUAGUUGGUAUCUAAUGAUUACAGCCAAACAUAUUAUUAAUACUUUUACAUGUGUUUUAGCAAAACAGUAAGAUAUUAUGCCUUUUAUAAUCUUGAGUUUUUGAAUCUUAUGGUAAUCUUCUCUACUGUUUUUAAAGAUUGUUUGCAUUUCCAUUUAAAUAACCUGUUGUGAGUGCUCGGUCUCUUGAUGAUCUGCAAACAAUCCAAAUGAAACUUGAGGUGUAGAUUUGACCGAGCUGAAUCCAUUCGUGUGGAUGUUCCCGACUUAAAUAAACGUAACACAAAAAGUAA